Molecule: unclassified non-coding RNA, 520 nt
Filed under: Hevea brasiliensis (rubber tree)
Lineage: Eukaryota; Viridiplantae; Streptophyta; Magnoliopsida; Malpighiales; Euphorbiaceae
Source: RNAcentral
GAACCGCACCCUCUUCAGGGUUAUAUGUAGCAAUUAGUAGUGGUUUGCAUGGAUGGCGGAAGCUGAUUCCCUCUCUUUCUACAGUAUUGACUCCCUCUGUCAAUACAUUAAGAAGUAGGUUACUUAUACCUUCAUCUAAUAGAUUGAUCUCAUCAACAUAUAGAACUCCUCGAUGAGCUUCUGCAAGGAGGCCCGGUUGAAAGACAGUGGUUCCAGAUUUCACGGACUCCUCAACAUCAACAGAGCCAAUCAAUCUAUCUUCUGUGACACCAAGAGGAAUCUGAACAAAUGGAGAUUUAACUAUCUGGGUCUUGAUAUUGCCAUCAGAGUCGUAUUCUACUCUGUCAGCUAGCCCAUCUUCCCACUCUUCAGAACAGUUCGGAUCAGCAUUUGCCAUAGAGCCAACAACUACUUCAAUUGGUGGCAGAAUAGCAUGCAACCCACGUGCCAUUACAGUUUUAGCUGUUCCACGCUUCCCAGAUAUUGCAAUUCCUCCUAUCUCACGGUCAAUGGCCCCAAG